RNAcentral lists this non-coding RNA (29 nucleotides) under Homo sapiens (human). The record is from RNAcentral. Lineage: Eukaryota; Metazoa; Chordata; Mammalia; Primates; Hominidae.
AGGAUAUCUACCUGAGGCUGUUGGUCAAG